This 468-nucleotide ribosomal RNA is filed under the name uncultured bacterium. RNAcentral describes it as "partial 16S ribosomal RNA". It matches the Rfam family "Bacterial small subunit ribosomal RNA", at positions 28 to 507 of the family's 1533-position model. The record is from RNAcentral.
GACGAACGCUGGCGGCGUGCUUAACACAUGCAAGUCGAACGGAAAGGCCCUGCUUCUGUGGGGUGCUCGAGUGGCGAACGGGUGAGUAACACGUGAGUAACCUGCCCUUGACUUUGGGAUAACUUCAGGAAACUGGGGCUAAUACCGGAUAGGAGCUCCUGCUGCAUGGUGGGGGUUGGAAAGUUUCGGCGGUUGGGGAUGGACUCGCGGCUUAUCAGCUUGUUGGUGGGGUAGUGGCUUACCAAGGCUUUGACGGGUAGCCGGCCUGAGAGGGUGACCGGCCACAUUGGAACUGAGAUACGGCCCAGACUCCUACGGGAGGCAGCAGUGGGGAAUAUUGCACAAUGGGCGGAAGCCUGAUGCAGCAACGCCGCGUGCGGGAUGACGGCCUUCGGGUUGUAAACCGCUUUCGCCUGUGACGAAGCGUGAGUGACGGUAAUGUGUAAAGAAGCACCGGCUAACUACGUG